Molecule: ribosomal RNA, 490 nt
Filed under: uncultured bacterium
Lineage: Bacteria
Description: partial 16S ribosomal RNA
Rfam family: Bacterial small subunit ribosomal RNA
Source: RNAcentral
GAUGAACGCUAGCGAUAGGCUUAACACAUGCAAGUCGAGGGGCAGCAUGGUCUUAGCUUGCUAAGACUGAUGGCGACCGGCGCACGGGUGCGUAACGCGUAUGCAACUUGCCUCACAGAGGGGGAUAACCCGUCGAAAGACGGACUAAUACCGCGUACACUCCAUCUUGGGCAUCCAAGGUAGAGGAAAUGAAAUUCGCUGUGAGAUAGGCAUGCGUCCCAUUAGCUAGUUGGUGAGGUAACUGCUCACCAAGGCGACGAUGGGUAGGGGAACUGAGAGGUUGAACCCCCACACUGGUACUGAGACACGGACCAGACUCCUACGGGAGGCAGCAGUGAGGAAUAUUGGUCAAUGGGCGAGAGCCUGAACCAGCCAAGUCGCGUGAAGGAUGACUGUCUUAUGGAUUGUAAACUUCUUUUAUACGGGAAUAACAAGAGUCACGUGUGACUCCCUGCAUGUACCGGAUGAAUAAGCAUCGGCUAACUCCGUG